GACGAACGCUGGCGGCGUGCUUAACACAUGCAAGUCGAACGGAAAGGCCCCCACUUUUUUGGUGGGGGUGCUCGAGUGGCGAACGGGUGAGUAACACGUGGGUGAUCUGCCCUGUACUUCGGGAUAAGCUUGGGAAACUGGGUCUAAUACCGGAUAGGACCAUGGUUUAGUGUCUCAUGGUGGAAAAAUUAUUGUUUUGGUGCAGGAUGAGCUCGCGGCCUAUCAGCUUGUUGGUGGGGUAAUGGCCUACCAAGGCGUCGACGGGUAGCCGGCCUGAGAGGGUGGCCGGCCACAUAGGGACUGAGAUACGGCCCAGACACCUACGGGAGGCAGCGGUGGGGAAUAUUGCACAAUGGGCGCAAGCCUGAUGCAGCGACGCCGCGUGGGGGAGGACGGCCUUCGGGUUGUAAACUCCUUUCGUUAGGGACGAAGCCGCACCUUUUUGGGGUGUGGUGACGGUACCUUUGUUAAGAAGCACCGGCUAACUACGUG
RNAcentral lists this ribosomal RNA (492 nucleotides) under uncultured bacterium. Its description in RNAcentral is "partial 16S ribosomal RNA". It matches the Rfam family "Bacterial small subunit ribosomal RNA", at positions 28 to 507 of the family's 1533-position model. The record is from RNAcentral.